AUUGAACGCUGGCGGCAGGCCUAACACAUGCAAGUCGAGCGGAUGAAGGGAGCUUGCUCCUGGAUUCAGCGGCGGACGGGUGAGUAAUGCCUAGGAAUCUGCCUGGUAGUGGGGAUAACGUCCGGAAACGGGCGCUAAUACCGCAUACGUCCUGAGGGAGAAAGUGGGGGAUCUUCGGACCUCACGCUAUCAGAUGAGCCUAGGUCGGAUUAGCUAGUUGGUGGGGUAAAGGCCUACCAAGGCGACGAUCCGUAACUGGUCUGAGAGGAUGAUCAGUCACACUGGAACUGAGACACGGUCCAGACUCCUACGGGAGGCAGCAGUGGGGAAUAUUGGACAAUGGGCGAAAGCCUGAUCCAGCCAUGCCGCGUGUGUGAAGAAGGUCUUCGGAUUGUAAAGCACUUUAAGUUGGGAGGAAGGGCAGUAAGUUAAUACCUUACUGUUUUGACGUUACCAACAGAAUAAGCACCGGCUAACUUCGUG
RNAcentral lists this ribosomal RNA (483 nucleotides) under uncultured bacterium. Its description in RNAcentral is "partial 16S ribosomal RNA". It matches the Rfam family "Bacterial small subunit ribosomal RNA", at positions 30 to 507 of the family's 1533-position model. The record is from RNAcentral.